AAAAGAAUAAGAAGUUCUGGCGGACGUACCUUUUGUAUCAGGGGAGGUCAAAAGUUAACUUAAUUAAGGAUCGAUUUUAACAGAGCCUUGUGGCUUACUUGUAGUUGAAUUUGCAGGUCUAAUAAGUUAUGUGGUAAAAAAUGUGCGGUGGUUAUGGUAUCUAUUUGUUUUUUUGCUGAAGGGUAAGCUUUCAUAAGCUUAAUUAGAAAAAAAAAUUAGGGGAUUAGGCUUUAUAUUAGCCAGAUUGUUAAAUUGUUUUAAAUAACCAAGCUUAAGCUAUAAAAUUAAGAUUUAGAGACUUGGCCUGUGAGUAGAGACGGGCCUAAAUAAUGAGUUUAUUGAACAGAGAGUGAAGUGUAAAAAUAACUCGUGAUUGGUUAGAAUGUUUAGCAAAAACAUUUUCUUUUUUAGCGUAAAAGAUAAGACCUGCCCGGUGAUUUUUAACGGCUGCGGUAUUUUGACUGUGCUAAGGUAGCAUAAUCAUUUGUUGCUUAAUUGGUAACUGGAAUGAAAGGUUAAACUAGCUUAUUUAGUUUGUUGCGCUAGUUGAGAUAUUAAAGUCAAGGUAAGAAUUCUUUGAUUGUGCUAGGGGACGAUAAGACCCUAGAAGCUUGACAAUAAGGGUAUUCGUUAGUUAUGGAGAUAAGUUUGUUUUACUGGGGCGGUAAAGGUGUAUAAUCUAUUAAAGUAUUGAAGGAUCCUUAAAAUAAAGACAGGACGGAAAAGUUACUCUAGGGAUAACAGUGCAAUAUAUUUGGAGAGAUCUUAUCAAUAGGUAUGUUUGCAACCUCGAUGUUGAAUUAAAAUAUCUACGUGAAGCAGAAGGUACGUAAGAGGUUUGUUCAAC
This 847-nucleotide ribosomal RNA is filed under the name Gammarus lacustris. RNAcentral describes it as "partial 16S ribosomal RNA". The stretch from base 559 to 847 matches the Rfam family "Bacterial large subunit ribosomal RNA", at positions 2046 to 2587 of the family's 2925-position model. The record is from RNAcentral. Lineage: Eukaryota; Metazoa; Arthropoda; Malacostraca; Amphipoda; Gammaridae.